Sander lucioperca (pikeperch) is the source of this 153-nucleotide long non-coding RNA. RefSeq lists it as uncharacterized. Lineage: Eukaryota; Metazoa; Chordata; Actinopteri; Perciformes; Percidae. The transcript has 3 exons. The record is from RefSeq and is a predicted model, not a curated record.
AAGAAAAGUGUUACCAAUAUUUGUUGUGAAAGAAAUACAGUUACAAUUUCAAGCAUUUUCAAGCAUUUUAUCCAAAAUGCAAGCACUUUUCAAACCUUGAAAACACAACUUCAAAAUUCAAGCAUUUUCAAGGAUUUCAAGCACCCGUACGAA